ACUGAUGACGGUGAUUAUGGUGUGAAGUUGCGAAUGUUAAUCCGCUUUUUAGAGGAUGGCGACAAAACGAAGAUUACGCUUCGUUUUAGAGGACGCGAAAUGGCUCACCAAGAAAUUGGCAUGAGAAUGUUGGAAAGAUUGAAGUUGGACUUAGUGGAACAUGGCACUGUUGAGCAGUUCCCUAAAAUGGAAGGCAGACAGAUGGUGAUGGUCUUAACUCCAACGAAGAAGAAGUAAGUUCGAGAAAUUAGUUCGAAAAGUAAGUUUGAAAACUAAGUUCGUAUAGAUUGCAGUAACCGAGUGAUAAAAAUAUCACU
Molecule: unclassified non-coding RNA, 317 nt
Filed under: Polynucleobacter kasalickyi
Lineage: Bacteria; Pseudomonadati; Pseudomonadota; Betaproteobacteria; Burkholderiales; Burkholderiaceae
Description: Polynucleobacter sp. VK13 Long range pseudoknot
Source: RNAcentral